GUCCUUCAUUGUGACAUAAGGGACAGUGACCUCUUCACUAGACACACUGGUCCUUCAUUGUGACAUAAGGGACAGUGACCUCUUCACUAGACACAAGAGACAGUGACCUCUUCACUAGACACACUGGUCCUUCAUUGUGACAUAAGAGACAGUGACCUCUUCACUAGACACACUGGUCCUUCAUUGUGACAUAAGAGACCGUGACCUCUUCACUAGACACACUGGUCCUUCAUUGUGACAUAAGGGACAGUGACCUCUUCACUAGACACACUGGUCCUUCAUUGUGACAUAAGGGACAGUGACCUCUUCACUAGACACAAGAGACAGUGACCUCUUCACUAGACACACUGGUCCUUCAUUGUGACAUAAGAGACAGUGACCUCUUCACUAGACACACUGGUCCUUCAUUGUGACAUAAGAGACCGUGACCUCUUCACUAGACACACUGGUCCUUCAUUGUGACAUAAGAGACGGUGACCUCUUCACUAGACACACUGGUCCUUCAUUGUGACACAAGAGACGGUAACCUCUUCAUGAGACACACUGGUCCUUCAUUGUGACAUAAGAGACAGUGACCUCUUCACUAGACACACUGGUCCUUCAUUGUGACAUAAGAGACAGUGACCUCUUCACUAGACACAAGAGACAGUGACCUCUUCACUAGACACAAGAGACAGUGACCUCUUCACUAGACACAAGAGACAGUGACCUCUUCACUAGACACACUGGUCCUUCGUUGUGACAUAAGGGACAGUGACCUCUUCACUAGACACAAGAGACAGUGACCUCUUCAUGAGACACACUGGUCCUUCAUUGUGACAUAAGGGACAGUGACCUCUUCACUAGACACAAGAGACAGUGACCUCUUCAUGAGACACACUGGUCCUUCAUUGUGACAUAAGAGACAGUGACCUCUUCACUAGACACAAGAGACAGUGACCUCUUCAUGAGACACACUGGUCCUUCAUUGUGACAUAAGAGACGGUGACCUCUUCACUAGACACACUGGUCCAUUGUGACAUAAGAGACGGUGACCUCUUCACUAGACACACUGGUCCUUCAUUGUGACACAAGAGACGGUAACCUCUUCACUAGACACACUGGUCCUUCAUUGUGACAUAAGGGACGGUGACCUCUUCACUAGACACACUGGUCCUUCGUUGUGACAUAAGGGACGGUAACCUCUUCACUAGACACAUUGGUCCUUCAUUGUGACAUAAGGGACGGUGACCUCUUCACUAGACACACUGGUCCUUCGUUGUGACAUAAGGGACGGUAACCUCUUCACUAGACACACUGGUCCUUCAUUGUGACAUAAGGGACGGUGACCUCUUCACUAGACACACUGGUCCUUCAUUGUGACAUAAGGGACGGUGACCUCUUCACUAGACACACUGGUCCUUCGUUGUGACAUAAGAGACGGUAACCUCUUCACUAGACAGGGUAACAGUCUGUUCCAGAUUUGACCAACUUAUCCCACUAAUUAACAUUACCACUAGCUUGGCAACUUGUUGUUGGAUGCAGAAACAGUCUUGUACGAAUACAGUGGCUGAGAUUCAAUCUGAGGUGUGUUGUAGCACCCUGAACAUUUAAAGGUAAUAUCUGACUGAGCUGACAUAUGCAACAUUUACCGUGAACACGCUGAGGAACACUGCCUUUAAAUGGGGCACUGUCAACAGAGGUCUACAACGUACCUCUGACUGAAUCCCUUCCUAUAUGUCCCUGUCAACAGAGGUCUACAACGUACCUCUGACUGAAUCCAGACCAAUAUGUCCCUGUCAGAGGUCUACAACGUACCUCUGACUGAAUCCAGACCUAUAUGUCCCUGUCAACAGAGGUCUACAACGUACCUCUGACUGAAU
Long non-coding RNA from Oncorhynchus gorbuscha (pink salmon), 1862 nucleotides. RefSeq lists it as uncharacterized. Lineage: Eukaryota; Metazoa; Chordata; Actinopteri; Salmoniformes; Salmonidae. The record is from RefSeq and is a predicted model, not a curated record. The transcript is spliced from 2 exons.